Molecule: long non-coding RNA, 434 nt
Filed under: Cairina moschata (Muscovy duck)
Lineage: Eukaryota; Metazoa; Chordata; Aves; Anseriformes; Anatidae
Description: domestica (muscovy Duck (domestic type)) lncRNA (ENSCMMG00000001641.1)
Source: RNAcentral
UUGGUGUCAAAUUCUAUUAGUCCUCCAAGAUCAGGUUUUAAGCAAUGUGGCUGAUUAUACUUCCCUAAGUUUUUGUGUAUUGUAAUAUUUCCUUAUGUUUAAAGCAGUUGUAUUUUGGGAGACAACAAAUAAAUGUUUUCUCCUGUUUAUUUCUUUCCACAGUCUUCUGUCUCCCUUCAUGCACAUACAGAUGAAUUCUCUGUAGUUUCUCCAGGGGGUGAUAACAGCAAGGCUCCUUCCCUCUGGAAACACAUGCAACUUUGUUGGAGUAAUAAAAACACCGAAAAGGAGAACCAGCAGCAGAUGCAGCUCUGCGAUGAAGUGAGAAUUAAGUGGCAUGCCAUCCUGCUGCUGCUCCCUCAUCACUGGCAGGAGUUCUGCAUGGACCACAGAUGGCUCUUCAUUCUGCAGGCAGGAGAGCCCCAUGAACAAAU